This 860-nucleotide ribosomal RNA is filed under the name uncultured bacterium. RNAcentral's name for it is "bacterial SSU rRNA". It matches the Rfam family "Bacterial small subunit ribosomal RNA", at positions 37 to 944 of the family's 1533-position model. The record is from RNAcentral.
UCGAUUCAGGCCUAACACAUGCAAGUCGCACGGUCAGCAAUGGCAGUGGCGGACGGGUGAGUAACACGUAGGAAUCUAUCCUGGGGUGGGGGACAACAGCGGGAAACUGCUGCUAAUACCGCAUGAUACCUGAGGGUCAAAGGCGCAAGUCGCCUUGGGAGGAGCCUGCGUCUGAUUAGCUUGUUGGUGGGGUAAAGGCCUACCAAGGCGACGACCAGUAGCUGGUCUGAGAGGAUGAUCAGCCACAUUGGGACUGAGACACGGCCCAAACUCCUACGGGAGGCAGCAGUGGGGAAUAUUGGACAAUGGGGGCAACCCUGAUCCAGCAAUGCCGCGUGUGUGAAGAAGGUCUUCGGAUUGUAAAGCACUUUUGGCAGGGACGAUGAUGACGGUACCUGCAGAAUAAGCCCCGGCUAACUUCGUGCCAGCAGCCGCGGUAAUACGAAGGGGGCUAGCGUUGCUCGGAAUGACUGGGCGUAAAGGGCGCGUAGGCGGCGCGUACAGUCAGAAGUGAAAUUCCUGGGCUCAACCUGGGGACUGCUUUUGAUACGUGCGUGCUUGAGUGAGGAAGAGGGUUGUGGAAUUUCCAGUGUAGAGGUGAAAUUCGUAGAUAUUGGAAAGAACACCGGUGGCGAAGGCGGCAACCUGGUCCUUUACUGACGCUGAGGCGCGAAAGCGUGGGGAGCAAACAGGAUUAGAUACCCUGGUAGUCCACGCUGUAAACGAUGUGUGCUGGAUGUUGGGAAACUUAGUUUUUCAGUGUCGUAGCUAACGCGAUAAGCACACCGCCUGGGGAGUACGGCCGCAAGGUUGAAACUCAAGGAAUUGACGGGGGCCCGCACAAGCGGUGGAGCAUGUGG